UUAAUUGAAGAGUUUGAUCAUGGCUCAGAUUGAACGCUGGCGGCAGGCCUAACACAUGCAAGUCGAGCGGUAGCACAGGAGAGCUUGCUCUCUGGGUGACGAGCGGCGGACGGGUGAGUAAUGUCUGGGAAACUGCCUGAUGGAGGGGGAUAACUACUGGAAACGGUAGCUAAUACCGCAUGACGUCUUCGGACCAAAGUGGGGGACCUUCGGGCCUCACGCCAUCAGAUGUGCCCAGAUGGGAUUAGCUAGUAGGUGGGGUAAUGGCUCACCUAGGCGACGAUCUCUAGCUGGUCUGAGAGGAUGACCAGCCACACUGGAACUGAGACACGGUCCAGACUCCUACGGGAGGCAGCAGUGGGGAAUAUUGCACAAUGGGCGCAAGCCUGAUGCAGCCAUGCCGCGUGUAUGAAGAAGGCCUUCGGGUUGUAAAGUACUUUCAGCGAGGAGGAAGGCAU
RNAcentral lists this ribosomal RNA (458 nucleotides) under Hafnia alvei. Its description in RNAcentral is "bacterial SSU rRNA". It matches the Rfam family "Bacterial small subunit ribosomal RNA", at positions 1 to 454 of the family's 1533-position model. The record is from RNAcentral. Lineage: Bacteria; Pseudomonadati; Pseudomonadota; Gammaproteobacteria; Enterobacterales; Hafniaceae.